Molecule: unclassified non-coding RNA, 416 nt
Filed under: uncultured Panellus
Lineage: Eukaryota; Fungi; Basidiomycota; Agaricomycetes; Agaricales; Tricholomataceae
Description: sequence contains ITS2
Rfam family: 5.8S ribosomal RNA (bases 1-154)
Source: RNAcentral
AACUUUGGACAAUGGAUCUCUUGGCUCUCGCAUCGAUGAAGAACGCAGCGAAAUGGGAUAAGUAAUGUGAAUUGCAGAAUUCAGUGAAUCAUCGAAUCUUUGAACGCACCUUGCGCUCCUUGGUAUUCCGAGGAGCAUGCCUGUGUGAGUGUCAUUAGAUUCUCAAACCUCAAUCAGUUUUCGAACUGGGCUGAGGCUUUGGACUAUGGAGGCUUUUGCUGGACUCUCAGAGAUCAGCUCCUCUCAAAUGCAUUAGCGGUUACUGAUCCCAUUCAUUGGUGUGAUAAUUAUCUAUGCCAUGGGUGGUUUCUCGUGUAUCAGCUUCUAACCGUCCUUUCAGGACAAUCUAUUGACUAUUUGACCUCAAAUCAGGUAGGACUACCCGCUGAACUUAAGCAUAUCAAUAAGCGGAGGCU